GCCGGCGUAGCUCAGGGGUAGAGCAGCUGAUUCGUAAUCAGCAGGUCGUUGGUUCAAUUCCUACCGCCGGCUCCA
This 75-nucleotide transfer RNA is filed under the name Desulfocarbo indianensis. RNAcentral's name for it is "tRNA-Thr". It matches the Rfam family "tRNA". From Rfam's summary of the family: Transfer RNA (tRNA) molecules are approximately 80 nucleotides in length. Their secondary structure includes four short double-helical elements and three loops (D, anti-codon, and T loops). RNAcentral also lists the same sequence under 1 other name. The record is from RNAcentral. Lineage: Bacteria; Pseudomonadati; Thermodesulfobacteriota; Desulfarculia; Desulfarculales; Desulfarculaceae.